GUAAAACCCAAUGGAUCACACACAUAUAAAAAUUUGUCAAGGACCCUUUUGAAAAAGGUUGAUUAGAAUUUUGGAUUCAAUCAGGAUUCCAGUAAGCAUGCUAGUAUGUGUGAAAAUCCUAGCUCCUUUGAAAAUCAAUUUAGUCUCAUUUCUUACUAAUUAGCUAGUCUAAUUUGGUGGGUAUUUGAGUCAAGUCAUGCACC
Molecule: long non-coding RNA, 203 nt
Filed under: Elaeis guineensis (African oil palm)
Lineage: Eukaryota; Viridiplantae; Streptophyta; Magnoliopsida; Arecales; Arecaceae
Description: long non-coding RNA (EGUI_LNC066707)
Source: RNAcentral